GUUUGAUAAAGGCAAAUUCACUGAAAAGUGGGGACGCAAAGCUAAAGGGGCUUCAUUUCUUAUAAUAUGCCAGCCAGCUACCUUA
RNAcentral lists this non-coding RNA (85 nucleotides) under Fictibacillus arsenicus. Its description in RNAcentral is "c-di-GMP sequence". It matches the Rfam family "c-di-GMP-I riboswitch aptamer". From Rfam's summary of the family: GEMM was predicted in a large-scale screen for bacterial structured RNA regulatory elements. Lineage: Bacteria; Bacillati; Bacillota; Bacilli; Caryophanales; Fictibacillaceae. The record is from RNAcentral.